RNAcentral lists this long non-coding RNA (1287 nucleotides) under Monodelphis domestica (gray short-tailed opossum). RNAcentral describes it as "lncRNA (ENSMODG00000038945.1)". The record is from RNAcentral. Lineage: Eukaryota; Metazoa; Chordata; Mammalia; Didelphimorphia; Didelphidae.
CUCAAUUCUGUCUCAUCCAGAUCUUGCCAGGUCCCUUUUAUGUGUUGUCUUUCCUCAUUAGAAUGUACCUCCCUGAGACUAUCGAUCUUGUAUUUGUGUUCUCAGUCUAAGCACAUAGUAAGCUCUUAAUAAAUGCUUUAUCUUUCUAUCUACAAGGUAGUUUGGGAAGGAGGGCACUAGCAGUAGGAAGGAACUGGAAAAGUCUCCUGGAAGAAUUAAAUGUCUGAUCUACAUCUUAAAAGAAUAAAGGGACUCUAUGACAAGAUGAGAAGGCAUUCCAAAUCAGUGCAAAGACUGGGAGGUAGGAUAGGGAGCAUCAUGCAAGAGGAACAAGAGAUCAGUUUGGGGGAAUCCUAGAAUGCAAGAGAGGGAGUAAUAAUGUCCAAGGAGGCUAGAAAGACCGCGUGGGAAAAGGUUGCAUAGGGUUUUUAAAGCUAAAGCGAGAAAAUUUCUACAUUCUAGAGGCGAUAGGGAGCCCCUGGAGUUCUAGUUCUAGCUUUUAAUCUACUUAUAACAUGUAGUUUUAUGUUAUAUCCAGGGAGAAGGCAAAGGCUUUGAAUCCCGCCCCCACCCCAGGGCUCUCAAGUAUCUUAUUCAACUAGCCAACCUCAUCAUUUUGCACAGGAGGGAAUUAAGGCCCAGAGAGUGUAAGAGGCUGGCUAGGAACCACUAAAGGCGCACAACUGGGAUUCGAAUCCAGCUCUAGUGGCUCCAGAUCACCUUUGACACCGGCAUCACGAUGCUGUUUGAGGAGCUUAGUGAAAAAGGGGGAGAACCUGCGACUCCGGGGGCUGGAAGCCUCAAAGGGCAAGCUAAUGAGGAAUGAAAAGGCUGAGGAAAGGAGGACAAGGAAGUAUUCCCGGCGCCACCUUCUCUCUUCAGCCUUAAGUUUCGGGCCCCUCGGGCUCCCCUAGGCACCGGAUUUGUGGGACUGAGGAGGCCAAAGCAGGAACCCAGGGCCUGGGGUAGGGUGGGGGGUGUGGGGAGGCUCGCUACCUGUUGCCGAAGAUCCUGACUGCGGCGCUGCACGGUCUGCAGGGGCCCUCGGCCCCUCCCGCUCAGCAUGGCAGCUCCCACCCGGCGCCCGGGGGAACCCGGAGGCUUCUCCGCUCGUCGUCAAGGAGACCGACGUGGCGGCGGAGGCGACCGACAGUGACGCCAUCACUGCGCGGGCGCACACAGAGUCCCAGCCUGAAGAAAAGAUCUCGAAGAGGGAAAAAAAGGCUAAAGUCAGAAACUCAGCUCUGGCAGGGCUCAGUAACUUUCAGUGAGAGGACCGGGUGGUGU